CCCCAAUUAAAUUGUUUAAAACUUGAAUUCUAAUAUUUAAAGUGAUCAAUCCAUCAAUCGAAAUGCAAAAAGCUCUUGGACCAAUCUUUGUGAGAAUAUGAGAUUUUGUUUUGUUUUUCUUUUCUCUUAUAGCUUCCGAAAGUUGUGUGUUCUCCUUGGAAUUCAAUAAUUUCCCUAAAAUGUGUAUUUAUGAAGACAAAUUAAGACACUUUGGAUUUGGCGUGUAACCAUAUUACCUAACACUUAUUUGAUUACAUAGACAGAGAGAUACAUGUAUAGAGUUUGAGAGAAUCAACAAGCAAUCAAGUUAAACAUUUGAUAAACAAACGAAUCAAGAGGGAAACAAAUGAUGAAGAAGAGGAUAAAAUCAAGAGAAUCCAAUCAAAACAAAUAUCUCUGGAUAGUGAUAAGAGUGAUGUAUAUUUGAUAUACAGAAAUGUCUUAAGUUACAAUUGGUAAACAACUUACAAUUUAAAGUAAAUUCAAUGGAUUCAAAUAUUUGAUUGAAAUUGAUACAAUAUCAACAGUUGUUGAAAUAACAACAACAACAACAACAACAACAAAAGCUUUGUUACCAAUGGAAAGGAAAUUAAGUUUCAAUAUUCAAACAAAUUUACUCUUUAACAUUUCAAUUCAAUUGUGGAUCAGCUGUUGAUGGUAUAACGAUUUUGAUACAUUUCUCCUGUUGAAGAAAAAUAAUCCUGACGAAAAAAAAAGGAUUCAGAUUGAAAAUUAUAUCCAAUUGAUCAAGGAAAAUCAAGUCAACAAGUGAACAGAUUUUGAUACAAGUUAAUUGUGUUAAACUGUAACGGAUUUCUCACCAAAAUUACCCACACACAUACACACUUACAUUGAGACAUGAAGAAAUGGAGGAGAAAACAAAAAAACUCUUACCUAUUAAGUGCAAUUCACCAUGAUACCAGUUUAAUGAUAUCAGAAAACGAUUUCAAUUGAAUCGUAAUGAUAUUUGUUUCACUUAAGUGUUUAUCUUCACCCCACCACAAACUGUUCACUUGCUGUUUUAUUGGGGCUUUUGGUUUUGUUUUUACUCAUUUUCUACCACAAUACCUUGUUAUUGUUCAAUUACAAUCAAAUAAUGUCUAUUGAUCCUGCUAUCAUCGCAUCAUCAACAUCAUCAAGUUAAACAGCAAGAAAAGUACAACAGUGGUCACAAAAUAUGAAAAUGACCUCAAUAAGUGAUUAGAAUUGUUGUUGUUAUUCUUGUUGUUAAAAUCGAAAGGUUUUACAAGAUGGAGAGAGAGAGAGAGAAAAGUAAACGAACAAAGUAAAACAAGAAAAGAAGGUAACCAGUACCGGGUAGAAUUAUAAGUUCUUCAAAAGAAUUGGCACAAACCGUAAAGUUUCUUUCUUUUCUUCUGUCUCUUUUUUCAUCUUUUUUCUUAUACUUUUCACCUUAAUUUUCUUUUUUUUUCUUGUUAACUUAUCUUUAUUUUCUUUCUUCAGGUUUCAUCUCCCCUGCGCUCUCUCUCUCUCUUUCUAUCUCUCUCUUUUGCCGUCUUCCUCCAUUUCACUUUCAUCCGGGUCACUGAAGUUGUCUUUAUUAUUUACGAACUUGAUCAGCAAAAGUUUUACGAAUCAAUUUGGGCUCAAGCAAAGUAACAAGAAAACAAGUAAAAGGAUCAACAAGGAAAAGUUUUCUACACCUUUCGCUUCUAAUAACUUCAUCUUUUUCUCUCUAAUUUUCUUCCUAAAAUAUUGGUGUGUCGAAUAAUGAAAAAGUAACUCUCUCUCUCUCUCUCUCUCUCUCUCUGGACCAAAUAGGAAAGGUGAUAAUAUGCUCUUUCACUAUGCAUUUGCAGGGAGAGAAAAAGAGAGCAAAGAUAUGAGUGGAAGGAAAAUUCUAUACCAGAAAUGUAAAGAAAAGAGGGAGGAGGAGGAGAGAGAGAGAUGAAUAAGAUUAAGGCCAAUUUUAAACCAAUUGAAAAGAAAGAGAAGAGCCCGUGCUCCCGCCGUUUCCUCCAUAUCAUCAUUCACUCUCCCUCUCUUUUCAUCCUCUUUCUUUCCACCACCUCUGACAUUCACAUUUAAGCCUCGUGGCCUACCGAUAGUCAACGUCUGUAACGUGCUUCUUGUUUAUUGUGACCUCAUGCGGAGGGGAAAAAGAGGAGAGUCAAUGGAAAACAUCUCGGGAAGGAAAAAGGAGAGAGUUCAACAUAAUUUUGGGGGGAAAAAGAUAAUGGACUGAGGGAGAAUGAAGAGGGAAAAGGCCAAACAUGUGAUCAAAAACAAGAAAGAAAGAGAGAGAGAGUAAAACAAUUUCCCUCAAGAUGUCAAAGUGUGACCUUUUUCUCUGCGUAUGACCUGUCGCUUGUUAUGAUGGCAUUUGAAUGGUGAUGUUAAGCAUCUUUAUGAUGAUAAAAUGAUCUCGAGAUGAUAUCGACCUUUCAAGACUUUAAAUUAUUGGAAAACUAAUACCAAACAAUUAAAUCCGCAGGAAAAACACAGUUUUGUUGAUUGUUUCCAUUUAGAGGUCAAGGUUUACAUGGAUCAAGACACAGACACAAUUACUGAGGAUACGAGAGAUUAUCACAAAUAGAAAGUAAUUCAUCUUUAUCUUCAUCUUCUCAUUGUUAAUUUAGAUUAAGGACAAACCAACGUUCACAUUGAGUUAAAUGGAUAAUCAAAGAGCAGAAAAUGUUAUCAACUAGACUCAUUUGUUUUACUUUUUUCUCAUCAUCAUUUUUUCAUUUUGAUCUAAAUUCUAUUUGAUCAGAAAAAUUAUAUUUCCUUCCUUCCAGAGCACGUCGACUGUUAAGUGCUAUUACGUGGAUGGAAUCAUUCAUAAUCAUGAUUAACCACCAAACACCAUCGAGAGAGAAAAUGAUUAACUACAAGCCAAUACUGAACAAUAUUCCAAAUACAAGUAUGAACAACAAUCUGAAGCUUAAUCACAAUUAACAUAAUCUAUUGGUUUCAAUGAUUAUUAGGUUACAUCGUAUGAACAAUUUAACAAUUGAUUACAAAGAUUCAUUGGAUUUUACAGUUAUACUAUUUACCGUUAUUGUUUUGUGUGUUUCUGCUUUUAUAACUUCAAUGACAAUUAAUCAAUCACUUGUUAUUAUUUUCUCUUUACCAUUAAUUAAAUGAUUAAUAUUAUCAUUUACUUGUUAGAAAUAGUGACGAGAUAUAUUUCAAAAUAGUAAUUUGAAAUAAUCAAUUAUCUCCCAUGAAAAUAAGUUGAAUUCAUUGAUAUUAUAAAUCAACAAUAAAUGAACUAAAUUGAUUACGAAUUAAAUUGUAGUUUUUACUUUCGAAAGGUAAAUUGUUAAAUCAAUACACAUUUUGAAUGUUAAUAAUUUUUCAUUGGGUUAACAAUAAUUAACAUUCAAUGAUUAGUUUUAAUAACCUGAAGCUUUUUUGAUUCACUUGAUUAACUGAUUUGUUGAUUAGUUGUAAUCAUUGUAAUCAAAUGAUACGUUAACCUUUUUUUUUGUUGUCAAAUGUAAAUCCCAACGAUUAAAGUGUAAAUUGUUAUCAUUUUAAUUGUUACAAUUAAGCAAAAACCAGGAAAACAAAAUGAAUCAUCAUCAUUAUUAAAUCACAAUUAAAAAGGACUAAAUUGAUUGGAUGCAAAAAAAUGAUCAAUGGAAAGGAAAAGUAAUUAAAGAAAAAGGGAAAACC
Long non-coding RNA from Panonychus citri (citrus red mite), 3642 nucleotides. RefSeq lists it as uncharacterized. The transcript has 3 exons. Lineage: Eukaryota; Metazoa; Arthropoda; Arachnida; Trombidiformes; Tetranychidae. The record is from RefSeq and is a predicted model, not a curated record.